This 416-nucleotide ribosomal RNA is filed under the name uncultured soil bacterium. RNAcentral describes it as "bacterial SSU rRNA". It matches the Rfam family "Bacterial small subunit ribosomal RNA", at positions 26 to 429 of the family's 1533-position model. The record is from RNAcentral.
AGAGUGAACGCUGGCGGCAGGCCUAACACAUGCAAGUCGAACGGCAGCACAGAGGAGCUUGCUCCUUGGGUGGCGAGUGGCGGACGGGUGAGGAAUACAUCGGAAUCUGCCUUAUCGUGGGGGAUAACGUAGGGAAACUUACGCUAAUACCGCAUACGACCUACGGGUGAAAGCGGAGGACCUUCGGGCUUCGCGCGAUAAGAUGGGCCGAUGUCGGAUUAGCUAGUUGGCGGGUAAAGGCCCACCAAGGCUACGAUCCGUAGCUGGUCUGAGAGGAUGAUCAGCCACACUGGAACUGAGACACGGUCCAGACUCCGUACGGGAGGCAGCGAGUGGGGAAUAGUUGGACAAGUGGGCGCGAAGCCUGAUCCAGCCAGUGCCGCGUGUGUAGAAGAACGGCCUUACGGGUUAGUAAG